RNAcentral lists this ribosomal RNA (253 nucleotides) under uncultured bacterium. RNAcentral describes it as "partial 16S ribosomal RNA". It matches the Rfam family "Bacterial small subunit ribosomal RNA", at positions 524 to 776 of the family's 1533-position model. The record is from RNAcentral.
UACGUAGGGUGCGAGCGUUAAUCGGAAUUACUGGGCGUAAAGCGUGCGCAGGCGGUCUGUUAAGACAGAUGUGAAAUCCCUGGGCUUAACCUGGGAACUGCAUUUGUGACUGGCAGGCUAGAGUAUGGCAGAGGGGGGUAGAAUUCCACGUGUAGCAGUGAAAUGCGUAGAGAUGUGGAGGAAUACCGAUGGCGAAGGCAGCCCCCUGGGCCAAUACUGACGCUCAUGCACGAAAGCGUGGGGAGCAAACAGG